ACACUCCUGCGGGAGGCAGCAGUGGGGAAUUUUGGACAAUGGGCGAAAGCCUGAUCCAGCAAUGCCGCGUGAGUGAAGAAGGCCUUCGGGUUGUAAAGCUCUUUUGUCAGGGAAGAAACGGUGAAAGCUAAUAUCUUUUGCUAAUGACGGUACCUGAAGAAUAAGCACCGGCUAACUACGUGCCAGCAGCCGCGGUAAUACGUAGGGUGCAAGCGUUAAUCGGAAUUACUGGGCGUAAAGCGUGCGCAGGCGGUUUUGUAAGUCUGAUGUGAAAUCCCCGGGCUCAACCUGGGAAUUGCAUUGGAGACUGCAAGGCUAGAAUCUGGCAGAGGGGGGUAGAAUUCCACGUGUAGCAGUGAAAUGCGUAGAUAUGUGGAGGAACACCGAUGGCGAAGGCAGCCCCCUGGGUCAAGAUUGACGCUCAUGCACGAAAGCGUGGGGAGCAAACAGGAUUAGAAACCCUGGUAGUCCCAUG
Molecule: ribosomal RNA, 475 nt
Filed under: uncultured organism
Description: partial 16S ribosomal RNA
Rfam family: Bacterial small subunit ribosomal RNA
Source: RNAcentral